CCUACGGGUGGCAGCAGUGAGGAAUAUUGGUCAAUGGACGAGAGUCUGAACCAGCCAAGUAGCGUGAAGGAGGACUGCCCUAUGGGUUGUAAACUUCUUUUAUAUGGGAGUAAAAUGUUCCACUGUUGGAAUUUUGUAUUUACCAUAUGAAUAAGAAUCGGUUAACACAGUGCCAGCAGCCGCGGUAAUCCGGAGGGGCGGAGAGUUAUCCGGAUUUAUGGGGUUUAAAGGGACGGGAGGUGGUUUUUUAAUUCAGUUGAGAAAGUUUUCGGCUCAAACGUAAAAUAGCAGUUGAAACUGGCAGUCUUGAGUACAGUAGAGGUAGGCGGAAUGCGUGGUGUAGCGGUGAAAUGCAUAGAUAUCACGCAGAACCCCGAUUGCGAAGGCAGUUCACUGGACUACAACUGACGCUCAGGCACGAAAGUGUGGGUAUCAAACAGGAUUAGAUACCCUUGUAGUC
Molecule: ribosomal RNA, 460 nt
Filed under: uncultured bacterium
Lineage: Bacteria
Description: partial 16S ribosomal RNA
Rfam family: Bacterial small subunit ribosomal RNA
Source: RNAcentral